GUGUAGCUCCAUGGUAGAGCCCUUGCCUCGGAAGCAGGAAGUCCUGGGAUUGAUCCCCAGCAC
Molecule: transfer RNA, 63 nt
Filed under: Ictidomys tridecemlineatus (thirteen-lined ground squirrel)
Lineage: Eukaryota; Metazoa; Chordata; Mammalia; Rodentia; Sciuridae
Description: Spermophilus tridecemlineatus (thirteen-lined ground squirrel) tRNA
Rfam family: tRNA
About the family: Transfer RNA (tRNA) molecules are approximately 80 nucleotides in length. Their secondary structure includes four short double-helical elements and three loops (D, anti-codon, and T loops).
Source: Rfam by way of RNAcentral